Molecule: unclassified non-coding RNA, 604 nt
Filed under: Hevea brasiliensis (rubber tree)
Lineage: Eukaryota; Viridiplantae; Streptophyta; Magnoliopsida; Malpighiales; Euphorbiaceae
Source: RNAcentral
UAUUUUUUAAUAAAAAAAUAAUAUGUUGUUAUGCGAGACAAGUUACAAGGAUUCAGGUAGGAAGAAGGUCUCCCCAUACCUGUCCUGCACAAUAUCCGGGUUAGAGAAAAUUGAUCGGAUUCGAGACGGGUCAGGUCGGGUUCAGGAACUUGUGUCAUUCCUAAUCAAAGGCCAACAACAAUACAGUGUUUGUGAUAAGCAUGUAUCCUGAGGCCAAACCAACCUUAAAAUGAGAUUGGUUCAAGUUGUACAUUCACUGCACAUGCAUAAAUAAUAACAGAAGAAUCAUUAGACCAGGCUCUAAUUUAUUCAAGGUCCUAAAGGACUUGAAGCAAGGCAACAAAAUUGAGUCCCAGUCAGAAUUUCAAAUCUACGUCCAGCCUCAUGCCAAAACUGUUAUGCCUUGUUUGCAUUAGGUUAGGUGACAGAAGGUUCAUAACAACCAAAAUUGUACAAUUGGAACCAGCGUAUGGACACAGAGCAGCACCUUCUGAAUAUGAAGAUUUCAUCCUCUUUCAAAAGGUCUAUUAUUUACAUGAAUCAACAAAGGAUUUGUGAAUACAUAUGAAAAGGGUCUUGGAGGGGAAAAAAAAAAAAACCCUCA